RNAcentral lists this ribosomal RNA (303 nucleotides) under uncultured bacterium. Its description in RNAcentral is "partial 16S ribosomal RNA". It matches the Rfam family "Bacterial small subunit ribosomal RNA", at positions 507 to 807 of the family's 1533-position model. The record is from RNAcentral.
AGCAGUAGCCACGGGAAUACGUAGGGGGCAAGCGUUGUCCGGAAUCAUUGGGCGUAAAGAGCGUGUAGGCGGCUUGGUAAGUCUGCUGUGAAAGUCCAGGGCUCAACCCUGGAAUGCCGGUGGAAACUGUCAAGCUAGAGUCCGGAAGAGGCGAGUGGAAUUCCUGGUGUAGCGGUGAAAUGCGCAGAUAUCAGGAGGAACACCAAUGGCGAAGGCAGCUCGCUGGGACGGUACUGACGCUGAGACGCGAAAGUGUGGGGAGCAAACAGGAUUAGAUACCCGUGUAGUCCCUGUCUCUUAUAC